UGGAGCCAACCUUGAAAUACCACCCUUUAAUGUUUGAUGUUCUAACGUAGACCCGUGAUCCGGGUUGCGGACAGUGUCUGGUGGGUAGUUUGACUGGGGCGGUCUCCUCCCAAAGAGUAACGGAGGAGCACGAAGGUUAGCUAAUCCUGGUCGGACAUCAGGAGGUUAGUGCAAUGGCAUAAGCUAGCUUGACUGCGAGCGUGACGGCGCGAGCAGGUGCGAAAGCAGGUCAUAGUGAUCCGGUGGUUCUGAAUGGAAGGGCCAUCGCUCAACGGAUAAAAGGUACUCCGGGGAUAACAGGCUGAUACCGCCCAAGAGUUCAUAUCGACGGCGGUGUUUGGCACCUCGAUGUCGGCUCAUCACAUCCUGGGGCUGAAGUAGGUCCCAAGGGUAUGGCUGUUCGCCAUUUAAAGUGGUACGCGAGCUGGGUUUAGAACGUCGUGAGACAGUUCGGUCCCUAUCUGCCGUGGGCGCUGGAGAAUUGAGGGGGGCUGCUCCUAGUACGAGAGGACCGGAGUGGACGCAUCACUGGUGUUCGGGUUGUCAUGCCAAUGGCAUUGCCCGGUAGCUAAAUGCGGAAAAGAUAAGUGCUGAAAGCAUCUAAGCACGAAACUUGCCCCGAGAUGAGUUCUCCCUGACCCUUUAAGGGUCCUGAAGGAACGUUGAAGACGACGACGUUGAUAGGUCGGGUGUGUAAGCGUAGCGAUACGUUGAGCUAACCGAUACUAAUGAACCGUGAGGCUUAACCUU
Molecule: ribosomal RNA, 750 nt
Filed under: Klebsiella ornithinolytica
Lineage: Bacteria; Pseudomonadati; Pseudomonadota; Gammaproteobacteria; Enterobacterales; Enterobacteriaceae
Description: partial 23S ribosomal RNA
Rfam family: Bacterial large subunit ribosomal RNA
Source: RNAcentral